GAGCGGGCGAGGUUGCUUCGGUAACUGAGCUAGCGGCGGACGGGUGAGUAAUGCUUAGGAAUCUGCCUAUUAGUGGGGGACAACAUUCCGAAAGGAAUGCUAAUACCGCAUACGCCCUACGGGGGAAAGCAGGGGAUCUUCGGACCUUUCGCUAAUAGAUGAGCCUAAGUCAGAUUAGCUAGUUGGUGGGGUAAAGGCCUACCAAGGCGACGAUCUGUAGCGGGUCUGAGAGGAUGAUCCGCCACACUGGGACUGAGACACGGCCCAGACUCCUACGGGAGGCAGCAGUGGGGAAUAUUGGACAAUGGGCGCAAGCCUGAUCCAGCCAUGCCGCGUGUGUGAAGAAGGCCUUUUGGUCGUGAAGCACUUUAAGCGAGGAGGAGGCUACUUGGAUUAAUACUCUAGGAUAGUGGACGUUACUCGCAGAGUAAGCACGGGCUAACUCUGUG
Molecule: ribosomal RNA, 449 nt
Filed under: uncultured bacterium
Lineage: Bacteria
Description: bacterial SSU rRNA
Rfam family: Bacterial small subunit ribosomal RNA
Source: RNAcentral